AUAAUUCUUCCUACUUAUCAAAAACUUCAUAGCAGUCUCCAUAUCUCUUACAAAACACCCUCAUAGUAUUUGUUUAUUAACAUCCUACACCUGCUUAAUCUUGAAGUCAGGAAAAUCCUUAUACCUUCAAGCAUGGUAAGGUAUCCUAAUAGGCUAAUACCCAUUAUUGGGGCUAACCAAGUCAUGGAUGAUGAUGAUGAUGAUGAACAAACUUUAGGCUCUGUCAUGGAGAACUUGAAAAAUCUCAUCUCAUAAGGAAAGGAGCGUUGAUGAUGAUGAUUCAGGCCUUAAUCCUAAACGCAAGAAGACAAAAUUAUGCUAUAUGAAAAUGUAAACAGAUGAAGGAUCCACAUAUUGGCGAUGUGAAUUCUAUCAAAUUUUUAGGCUUGUUAAAGGAUACCGUUGAUCAAUGUUGAGCGCUCAAAGCAAAAAAAAGAGCAAAUGGAAUAAGAGAAGCUUUUAUCAUUUAGACAACUUGGGUUAUUGAUUAAAACAAUUGUGGAUUUUGAGAAUGGUUUAAA
Molecule: long non-coding RNA, 521 nt
Organism: Amaranthus tricolor (Joseph's coat)
Lineage: Eukaryota; Viridiplantae; Streptophyta; Magnoliopsida; Caryophyllales; Amaranthaceae
Exons: 3
Source: RefSeq, a predicted model, not a curated record